This 801-nucleotide long non-coding RNA is filed under the name Salmo salar (Atlantic salmon). RNAcentral describes it as "lncRNA (ENSSSAG00000089940.1)". The record is from RNAcentral. Lineage: Eukaryota; Metazoa; Chordata; Actinopteri; Salmoniformes; Salmonidae.
GGUACAGAGUCAAUGUGGAGGCUAUAUACAGGGGGUACCGGUACAGAGUCAAUGUGGAGGCUAUAUACAGGGGGUAUCGGUACAGACUCAAUGUGGAGGCUAUAUACAGGGGGUACCGGUACAGAGUCAAUGUGGAGGCUAUAUACAGUGGGUACCGGUACAGAGUCAAUGUGGAGGCUAUAUACAGUGGGUACCGGUACAGAGUCAAUGUGGAGGCUAUAUACAGGGGGUACCGGUACAGAGUCAAUGUGGAGGCUAUAUACAGGGGGUACCGGUACAGAGUCAAUGUGGAGGCUAUAUACAGGGGGUACCGGUACAGAGUCAAUGCGGAGGCUAUAUACAGGGAGUAGUUGUACAGAGUCAAUGUGGAGGCUAUAUACAGGGGGGUACCGGUACAGAGUCAAUGUGGAGGCUAUAUACAGGUGGGUACCGGUACAGAGUCAAUGUGGAGGCUAUAUACAGGGGGUACCGGUACAGAGUCAAUGUGGAGGCUAUAUACAGGGGGUACCGGUACAGAGUCAAUGUGGAGGCUAUAUACAGUGGGUACCGGUACAGAGUCAAUGUGGAGGCUAUAUACAGGGGGUACCGGUACAGAGUCAAUGUGGAGGCUAUAUACAGGGUAUUACGGUACAGAGUCAAUGUGGAGGCUAUAUACAGGGGGUACCGGUACAGAGUCAAUGUGGAGGCUAUAUACAGGGGGUACCGAUACAGAGUCAAUGUGGAGGAAAUAUACAGGGUGUUACGGUACAGAGUCAAUGUGGAGGCUAUAUACAGGGGGGUACCGGUACAGAGUCAAUGUGG